CUGCUGAUCAGAUCUGUUGUAUUAGAGUUUAUUUAUGCUCCCUGUAGUUCUCCAGGUUUUUCAGUUCUUUUACUAACAUUGUGUAUUUUCUUUGUCUUUGCAUCAGAAGGGCAUUUUGCUGCUGCGGUAGAGUCUAAUUAGUGAAUUUUAUUUCAAACUCAUCUCUAAAAUUACCUCUUACAAUAUCAGACUUUAAUGCCCUUUUAAAAGUCUUCAUUCUGAAAACAGCUCAGAGAGCACUAUGAUGGAAAUGUUGGUAAAUGGGAUGGAAUAGAAAAAUGCCGUAGGAGAGAGUUGUUAUUGAUGUCUUUCAGUUAAUGUACUUUAUUAUCUUCAAUUGAAAUCCCUGUGGUUAUCUGAUAUGCUUAUUUUUCUGGAAGGUGUCCUCACAAUAUUUUGUAAAGGUGGUGCUUUUAGGUUUUGCUCAUUGGUAUUAUUUUAAGCUGUAUCUUUGAAAACUAACUUCUGCCUAUUGCUUUUUAGAGGCAGCCCUCUAUCAUAGAUCUCCUAACAACCUGUAAACACCAGUUUUAUAAGAGUCUACAGUUUUGACAGUUGGUUAUGUGAUACCAGACUCUUUUCAAGACUAUUGUAAAUGAAAUGCUUCUUACAAUCUCUGAUUUUUUGCACUUCCAUACAUGUAAGAAAGAGGGCAGGAGUAUUUUCUACAGUUGGACUCUGAAGAGGAAGGCUAUGAAAGGAACGUACAGAGAAAGUCUGGAAUAAGCAGACAGUCAUUUGUAUGGACUAAUAUUGUUCCCUGCUAAAGCUUGCUUAAGUUUGAUACUCACUGUAUUUUUUUUUUCCAGAGGCUGAACUGGAAACUUUUGUGCUUCCACAGUUUAGAACUGAUACUAAGGUGUCAUUAUUAGUAAUCCUAAGCAGUGUCUAUAGGUCUCAGGUAACUUGUGUUCACUUUAUCCUCAGCAUUUAGACAUUUAGUAAUUGCAGUGGGAUGAGAAAAAAAUUAUUAAAUCCACAUGGCUACUUUGUUUUUUUUUCACUGGGAUUUGAAAUGGGAGUUAUCAUAGUCAUUUUUAGCUUAUCAGUCUAAAAAUGAUAAAAAGAACCAGGAAGUGAUUAAAAAGCCAGGAAGAUGUGUGGGAGAUCCCAUCCUGAGCACAAAGCAGAGAAAGAGAGCUGAGAGAGCUCUCCCAGAGCAGCCGCCGAGAGUGAAAGCUUGAUCCCAGGACUUGCAGCUUAGCUUGAGACCUCAGCUCUGAGGGAUGCCAUUAGGGAAGGAGGACGCUGCCAAGUUAGACAUUUACUUCACCGCUGUAGCUGAAGCUGUAGCUGUAGUUUCUCUGCCUUGAAGCAGAGAAACACUUUGGUAGUUAAGAAUACUAUUUUUAAUGAAAUGCAAUUUUAGAUUAUACAUAGUUUACCUUUUUACUUUUUUUUCUUUGUAAUCUUGUUUCCAACUUUAUAACCAAGAAAGUAAUCUUUUGCUUUGUUAGAUGAAAUUUGUUUUCAUUUAUAAGUCAUCUACUGUUAAAAAUGAACAGACCUGACAAACUUAUUUCUCCAGACAAGAUGUAUCCUAGGAAAGCAGGGUGUAAAGCUGUCAAGCAGCAUCGAUCUACAACCUGAGAGAAGGCUGGGCUUUUCUGGAGCUGCGCAUGCCUCCUGCCAACUGGAGGAGUCAGUGUGCACCUGGCAUCAGCUGCUGACUGGUCUAGGAAGAAGUCUUGGCAGACGAGGAACAGGAGGAAUAAAGCAGAGAGCCCUGGGUAAUCCCCCAGAUCAUUGUAUUCUUCUAGCUUCCAGCUUCAGAGAAGCACUUUUUAACCAAUCAUUACAAAUAACUGGUACUAAGGACCCAUGCUACAAGGUGAAGCAUAUAUGCUAUUAAAUGGUCUAUAUUACUUACCUUCUCCUGGCUGAAGGUGCAGUCAUUUGGAAAAAGAAUAAAUGUUUUUGAAAGUG
Molecule: long non-coding RNA, 1926 nt
Organism: Dromaius novaehollandiae (emu)
Lineage: Eukaryota; Metazoa; Chordata; Aves; Casuariiformes; Dromaiidae
Exons: 2
Source: RefSeq, a predicted model, not a curated record